CCUACUGGAGGCAGCAGUGGGGAAUAUUGGACAAUGGGGGAAACCCUGAUCCAGCGACGCCGCGUGAGUGAAGAAGUAUUUCGGUACGUAAAGCUCUAUCAGCAGGAAAGAAAAUGACGGUACCUGACUAAGAAGCCCCGGCUAACUACGUGCCAGCAGCCGCGGUAAUACGUAGGGGGCAAGCGUUAUCCGGAAUUACUGGUUGUAAAGGGAGCGUAGACGGUAAUGCAAGUCUGGAGUGAAAGGCGGGGGCCCAACCCCCGGACUGCUCUGGAAACUGUGUAACUGGAGUGCAGGAGAGGCAGGCGGAAUUCCUAGUGUAGCGGUGAAAUGCGUAGAUAUUAGGAGAAACACCAGUGGCGAAGGCGGCCUGCUGGACUGUAACUGACGUUGAGGCUCGAAAGCGUGGGGAGCAAACAGGAUUAGAUACCCCAGUAGUC
RNAcentral lists this ribosomal RNA (440 nucleotides) under uncultured bacterium. RNAcentral's name for it is "partial 16S ribosomal RNA". It matches the Rfam family "Bacterial small subunit ribosomal RNA", at positions 338 to 795 of the family's 1533-position model. The record is from RNAcentral.